Molecule: ribosomal RNA, 495 nt
Filed under: uncultured bacterium
Lineage: Bacteria
Description: partial 16S ribosomal RNA
Rfam family: Bacterial small subunit ribosomal RNA
Source: RNAcentral
GAUGAACGCUGGCGGCGUGCCUAAUACAUGCAAGUCGAGCGAACGGACGAGAAGCUUGCUUCUCUGAUGUUAGCGGCGGACGGGUGAGUAACACGUGGAUAACCUACAUAUAAGACUGGGAUAACUUCGGGAAACCGGAGCUAAUACCGGAUAAUAUUUUGAACCGCAUGGUUCAAAAGUGAAAGACGGUCUUGCUGUCACUUAUAGAUGGAUCCGCGCUGCAUUAGCUAGUUGGUAAGGUAACGGCUUACCAAGGCAACGAUGCAUAGCCGACCUGAGAGGGGGAUCGGCCACCCUGGAACUGAGACACGGCCCAGACUCCUAGGGGAGGCAGCAGUAGGGAAUUUUCCGCAAGGGGCGAAAGCCUGACGGAGCAACGCCGCGUGAGGGAUGAAGGUCUGCGGAUCGAAAACCUCUUUUAUUAGGGAAAAAAAUAUGUGUAAGUAACUGGGCACAUUUUGACGGUACCAAAUCAAAAAGCCACGGCUAACUACG